This 698-nucleotide long non-coding RNA is filed under the name Homo sapiens (human). Its description in RNAcentral is "non-protein coding lnc-LPP-1:2". The record is from RNAcentral. Lineage: Eukaryota; Metazoa; Chordata; Mammalia; Primates; Hominidae.
ACAAAAGGAAGCACAAAGAUUACAGCUAUGCUUUGUCCAAGUGAAUGGAUAAAUUCUCACUCAUCCUCUUAGAGGAAAACUGGUAACAAAUGCUCCUUUCCAAGCCAGUUUUUUAAGACCCCAAGCCAGCUUUGGACCACGGCUUCAGUAGAUGUUUGUGUGUGGAUUUAGGAUGAUCCACUCUUAACUGUUACUUGCUACAGUGUUGCUCUCCUCCCUGUCUUCGCUCAGCGUGUAGAACGGUGGGUCCUCGGUUGUGUCUCCAGGAUCAUCGUUGCCUGCCCCAUCACCAUCAAAGGAGCCUCUCAGCUGCAGUGGUGGAUCCAGCCCAUCCAGUGGUCCACCUGGGAGGUCUCAGCCAAGCUAUCUCAACACACUCCUCUGCUUGGAAUUGGUACUAUGUAUUAUCUUUGUUUUAGGAUGUAGGGUAGGAACUGAGUCUAUUAAUGUUUUUCUCAACACUGUAUUCCCAGGCCUAAUAAGGCUAGUAGGUGCAGUAAUAACCUGUUGUUAGAGCAAAAAAGAUGGCAUAAGUUGUCUCCCUUGUUGUUUGAGCCUCUUUGAAACUUUUCAUUGGUAGUGAACACAAAAAGGAUUAAAGCUCUGCCUACCAACAUCUCUGCCACAAGAGACUGGCCCCCACUGUGAGAAUGCUCUGCCUGAUCUCUGAAGAUUCACAGGCUUCCAGGCACGAUCAU